GAUCAAGGCCCCCCCCGCCUGGGCUUUCCUAACUGUUUAUUUAAGUGUGUAGCCGUAACUUUUUGCUCCGGUUAGCAUUUGUUGGGUCCAACCCAGCUAUAGUCUAGGAAAUGGUUUCUAAUUUUCCUGCUGCCUCAUCAGCAGAAUUGACAGCUAAAUUCCAAUUGCUGAGGCUUUAUUACUUGUGAAGAUGUGAGAGGCAGAAAAGAGCACAGCUGGGUCCUGCAUCCCAGGUGGAGAUUUUAGGACUGGCAGAUAGAGGCAACUUUUGACUGUUAACUGAGGACAAUUUAAUCUGGAGGCAAUUGCUGGGAGAUGAAAUUUGAAACCCCCUGAUGUUGAUUUCUGUGAAUAACUGCCCUUUCAGGAGUAUACCUCAGGGUUCAGCACUUCCUCAGGUACCUGCAGCCAAUCCACUCUUGGAUAGCCAGGGGAGAAAGAACGUGGGAGUUUGCGGCUGCUCUGGGGCACAGACAUUGUUGGCAUGCAGAGCACCUCAGCUUCUUCCCCAGCUGUUGGCCACCUUGAUUUAAAGGGAGAGAAAGGAGAGGUUUGGAUUGGGAGCAGCGGAUGUUGAGGCCAACGUUCGGGAAGACGCUGUUCCAACACUUGUACGUCUCUGUGGGGACUGCACGUGUCAGUGCUAAAAGCUUCCAGACCCACGCAGUGAGAUUCUGAACGUUCAAAAGACUUUGGCUCAAAUUUAAUAAUUCAUUGUCUUGUAAAACCAGGAGUAAGUCCUGAAAAACUGAAAUCUACAUAAGAGAAACUUAGCUGUCCAUAUUUUCCUCUGUUCCUGUUGGUGCCUGCUACUUUCUCUGAUCUCUUCUUCAGCUAUCUUCACAUAACUGAUGAUUUCCCUGCCCUCUCCAGUGUUUUCUAAAAAGAAAAACCUAAAAAGCCAACACAUUUUCUGUCUGGUGUGCCUCUUGGAACACUGCAAACCGUUCAAAAUCUCCUAGAACAGUACAUCUAUCAUCUGUUGAGAACUUAUUGUUUUCCAGGGAUUGUGCUGGUUCUUUACGUACAUUUUUUCUAAAAGGUUAUCACCACCUUUGACCUGAGACAGUGGAGGCUUGGGCUGCUUAAACAGUGUCCAAAGUCACAAAUUGGUGGUGGCUUUUCUGGUAUCAGACUCUAUAUCUGACUGACUCUAAAACUUAUUUUUCGUUCCACGUUGCUUUUCUCCCUCUUCUCUAAAU
Molecule: long non-coding RNA, 1202 nt
Organism: Bos taurus (domestic cattle)
Lineage: Eukaryota; Metazoa; Chordata; Mammalia; Artiodactyla; Bovidae
Source: Ensembl